Gorilla gorilla gorilla (western lowland gorilla) is the source of this 2909-nucleotide long non-coding RNA. RefSeq lists it as uncharacterized. The transcript is spliced from 3 exons. The record is from RefSeq and is a predicted model, not a curated record. NCBI's taxonomy places the organism in Eukaryota, Metazoa, Chordata, Mammalia, Primates, Hominidae.
GGAGAGGAGAAGCAGCUGUCCCCGGGCUGCCUGGGAGUCACUGGGGAGUCCUAGCCCGCCCUUGGGCCUAGGGCUCCCUGAUGCGGCCUCCACUCUUCGCAGGGCCAAGAGGCGAGGAAGGAGGAGGGAGGGAAGAGGGAAGUUGGGGAGUGGGAGAGCGUCCUCCGCGACCGCUUGGGUCCUCCGCGGGGCAGCCUCGGGGAGGGUGGCUGCAGGGCCCGGAGUCGCCUGGAUCGCAGCGCCAUCUCGUGGCUGCUGGCAGGUCUGCCUUGGGCCCUCUGGGCGCACAUAGGAAACAGGAGCUCUUCCCAUCAGUGACAGGUGCCCGCCGGCCCGCACCCAGGAGAAUGCUCCAGUGUCACCAGUGACUCCUGCUCCCACAUCUGCCUACAGGAAGCCCUCUUGGAACAAAAGCGUCUCACUUCUGGGAGGCAUCAAGACUGGGUUUUGCCAUGUUGCCCCGGCUGGUCUCGAACUCCUGUGCUCAAGCGAUCUGCCAAGUGCUAGGAUUACAGGCAUGAGCCACUGCUCCUGGCCAGAAGAGGUCAGUUUCUAUAUUUUGGGGUCGUUCAGCACAUUUCUGUUUAGGAUCAGAAGAAUGGGCUGAGGCUUCUGGGGCCACCUUCAUCUCUCCUGUCCUUUCUCAGAGUGGUCCUUUUCUCCCUUCUUCAAGAAAUGAGGCACCUAAGCCUUUGUGGCUGAGUUGACCUGCCCCUUAGCAAUCCUCUGAGGGCUGCUUUAUAGGAAUCUCCAGAAUGCCUAACCCCUGAUCGGGUUCCAGAACAAUGUCCCAGAACAUUCUGUGCACUUGACUGGCCAUACCCAAUGAGAGCCAAGUUCAAGAGGGUCAGUGUAGGGAGAUGUAAGGGAAGAGGAGAAUAGUGAAGUGCUGUCAUGGGAAGUAAGAUAUAAAUAAAAUGACCCUGUUUCCAAAGAGGCAGUACAGCCCAGAGGCUCUGUUCUUGGGCAUGCACAUUGUUGGGUGGUUUUGACAGGCUGUGGAGCUAAACCACAGCUCAGAGUCAAGACAGGAGAAAGGAGGCACAGGCUUGGCAGCCAGAUGGUUUUUCUUCCUCUGCCUUCUGUUGGGUGGCUUAGAGGAUGCCCAUGGAACCCAGACUGCGCUCUUUCCUCUGAAUGACUUCCAGCCACAUCCCUCCCUGACCCCAAACUGAAAGCCAUUCUAUUUUAAUAUUUCUCUUGGGAAGUAGAUUCCAAAAUUUCCCUAAGUCUUCCCGUAAGGGGAGCCUCUGAUUUCCAGUAAAUCAAGGGUCACAAGUUUUCUAUAUUCAUUUGCAUUUGGUUUGCAUAAAUUAGCAUGCUACCAAGUCCUGGACUCUGAGUCAAAGCAAGCCAGGGAAUUAAUGCAAAAAGGCUCAAGCUUCUGUGCCCCUGGGAAAUGGCAGAGGAAGACAGCUUCAGCCUCAGAGCGCACAGCACUGAGUUGUAAGAAACAGGUCUCAUCAUCCCCUUGGCCAGCAGAUUUUCACCCUGGGCCCACUAAGAAGCCUGCCAGGGGGUCCUCUGUUGUCUGGACCCUGAGGCUUCAUCCUCAAUGUGUUGGAGCCUAGGAGAGAGGAUUAGAGUUAUGCGGUAGGUGUGGGAGUUGUGUUUGAUGGGCUAGGAGUUGGGUGAGGAGGGAUCCUCAGUUUUGGGUAAAGGCAAAAAGGCAAGGAAGCCAGGAAAAAGCAAGGAGUUGGAAUAAAGACAGAGUGUGGGAGAAAGAGAGUGAGCUGGGUACAGGGGUGGGAGCAGAUUUAGAAGAAGGAGGACAGAGAAUCUGACUCAGGAUUGAGACAGCCCGUGGGAAGUGGAUCCCUAGCGUAGGAACAGGAGAGAGCCAGAGAGGAGAGGUAAGAGGGGGCAAGACUCGGGGGUUAAGUAGAGGCAAGCCGGCAGGCAAGCACUGCAUGGCUAGUUGAGAAUGGAAAGGGGACGUGGUGAUCUAGGAAGUUUCUGUUUAAAGGCAGAGAGUGUAUGGUCAGGCAGGGGCUGUAUCUAUUUUCUUGUUUGUUUAUUCUUUUGUUUGUUUGUUUGUUUUGAGACAGAGUUUCCCAACGGUGCAAUCUCUACUCACCGCAACCUCUGCCUCCCGGGUUCAAGCAAUUCUCCUGCCUCAUUCUCUUGGGUAGCUGGGAUUACAAGCAUGCGCCACCACUCCCAGCUAAUUUUGUAUUUUUAGUAGAGAUGGGGUUUCUCCAUGUUGGUCAGGCUGGUCUCGAACUCCUGACCUCAGGUGAUCCACCCAGCUCGGCCUCCCAAAGUCCUGGGAUUCCAGGCAUAAGCCACUGCGCCUGGCCUGUUUCUAUUUUCUUUUGCCAGGCAGGUUAUAUUAUACUGGGGUUUCUUGCUGAGGUCUGUCCUGGGACUGUCUGAGGUGUCACAAAUAGCCCACAGGUACAGACGAGAAAUUUGAAAGUGACUCCAGGCGCAGCAGAUGACAGCAAGAUGGGACUCCAAGUUCUUUUUCUAGAAAUUACAAGCUGCUCCGCUACCCACACAUGUAGCUCAUUCUCCCUGUGGCCAAGACACUCCUGUGCCUGAGGGAAAGGCAAUGCCUGCGGCAGAAACGGAGCGGUCCCCCAGCCAGGGGAGAGAGUGGCACCUAGUAUGGUACCCAAUGCUCUAAGGCAUGGAGUUUAUUGACUGCUGACUGUAGACCAGCCACUCACCACAGUGUAGGUUGGAAGCCUUCUAAGGCCGUGCGUUUUGCAGAGUCAGCCCAUGAUGGGGCCAGGAGUGUGGGCUCCAGUGUCACCCCCUUGGGAUUUAAUCCUGGCUGCACCUCUGGGGGCCUUGGGUAAGUUCUUGUAACUCCUCUAUGCCUCAGUUUCCUCAUCUGUAAAAUGGGAACAAUAAUGCCUACUUCAUAGAGUUGUGGGGAAAGAACUAAGCACGAUAAUCCCUGU